AGCCUUCUGAAUCCGAGCCGAAAUUUCGUCAAACACCAAACCAUCAGGACUGAUGAGACUUCCAAGAUAAGUGAAACG
Schistosoma haematobium is the source of this 78-nucleotide non-coding RNA. The record is from Rfam. NCBI's taxonomy places the organism in Eukaryota, Metazoa, Platyhelminthes, Trematoda, Strigeidida, Schistosomatidae.